RNAcentral lists this ribosomal RNA (253 nucleotides) under uncultured bacterium. Its description in RNAcentral is "partial 16S ribosomal RNA". It matches the Rfam family "Bacterial small subunit ribosomal RNA", at positions 524 to 776 of the family's 1533-position model. The record is from RNAcentral.
UACGUAGGGUGCAAGCGUUGUCCGGAAUUAUUGGGCGUAAAGCGCUCGUAGGCGGUCUGUCGCGUCGGCUGUGAAAUCCCGAGGCUCAACCUCGGGUCUGCAGUCGAUACGGGCAAACUAGAGUAUUGCAGGGGAGACUGGAAUUCCUGGUGUAGCGGUGAAAUGCGCAGAUAUCAGGAGGAACACCGGCGGCGAAGGCGGGUCUCUGGGCCUGACCUGACGCUGAGGAGCGAAAGCGUGGGGAGCGAACGGG